Non-coding RNA from Nelumbo nucifera (sacred lotus), 119 nucleotides. The record is from Rfam. Lineage: Eukaryota; Viridiplantae; Streptophyta; Magnoliopsida; Proteales; Nelumbonaceae.
GGGUGUGAUCAUACCAGCGCUAAUGCACUGGAUCCCAUCAGAACUCCGAAGUUAAGCGUACUUGGGCGGGAGUAGAACUAGGAUGGGUGACCUCCUGGGAAGUCCUCGUGUUGCACCCC